Molecule: ribosomal RNA, 443 nt
Filed under: uncultured bacterium
Lineage: Bacteria
Description: partial 16S ribosomal RNA
Rfam family: Bacterial small subunit ribosomal RNA
Source: RNAcentral
ACUACGGGAGGCAGCAGUGGGGAAUAUUGGGCAAUGGGCGCAAGCCUGACCCAGCAACGCCGCGUGAAGGAAGAAGGCUUUCGGGUUGUAAACUUCUUUUCUCAGGGACGAAGCAAGUGACGGUACCUGAGGAAUAAGCCACGGCUAACUACGUGCCAGCAGCCGCGGUAAUACGUAGGUGGCAAGCGUUAUCCGGAUUUACUGGGUGGAAAGGGCGUGUAGGCGGGAAAGCAAGUCAGAUGUGAAAACCAUGGGCUCAACCUGUGGGCUGCAUUUGAAACUGUUUUUCUUGAGUACUGGAGAGGCAGACGGAAUUCCUAGUGUAGCGGUGAAAUGCGUAGAUAUUAGGAGGAACACCAGUGGCGAAGGCGGUCUGCUGGACAGCAACUGACGCUGAGGCGCGAAAGCGUGGGGAGCAAACAGGAUUAGAUACCCUAGUAGUC